GUUGUGGUUGAAAAGCUCGUAGUUGGAUCUCAACAGACCCGGGUCGGUUUACUUUGUGUAAUACUGAUCCGGUACUGUGCUUUUGCUGGAGGUUUAGGGGUGCUCUUAACCGAGUGUCUCUGAGUGCCAGCAGGUUUACUUUGGAGAAAAUAAAUUGCUCAAGGAGGGCUGUUAUGCCUGAAUAUUUGUGCAUGGAAUAAUAGAAUGGGAUGUUGAUCUUAUUUGUUGGUU
This 231-nucleotide ribosomal RNA is filed under the name uncultured marine eukaryote. Its description in RNAcentral is "partial 18S ribosomal RNA". It matches the Rfam family "Eukaryotic small subunit ribosomal RNA", at positions 612 to 849 of the family's 1831-position model. The record is from RNAcentral.